This 292-nucleotide ribosomal RNA is filed under the name uncultured bacterium. RNAcentral describes it as "partial 16S ribosomal RNA". It matches the Rfam family "Bacterial small subunit ribosomal RNA", at positions 505 to 796 of the family's 1533-position model. The record is from RNAcentral.
GUGCCAGCCGCCGCGGUAAUACGUAGGUGGCAAGCGUUGUCCGGAUUUACUGGGCGUAAAGGGCGUGCAGGCGGUUUGUUUAGUCUAGGGUGAAAGCUCCCGGCUUAACUGGGAGAGGUCCUUGGAUACUGGCAAACUUGAGGGAGGCAGAGGAAAGUGGAAUUCCCGGUGUAGUGGUGAUAUGCGUAGAUAUCGGGAGGAACACCAGUGGCGAAGGCGGCUUUCUGGGCCUUACCUGACGCUGAGACGCGAAAGCGUGGGGAGCGAACCGGAUUAGAUACCCCCGUAGUCC